Molecule: long non-coding RNA, 22252 nt
Filed under: Oryza sativa (Asian cultivated rice)
Lineage: Eukaryota; Viridiplantae; Streptophyta; Magnoliopsida; Poales; Poaceae
Description: long non-coding RNA (OSAT_LNC001136)
Source: RNAcentral
GAAUAAGGCCGGUAGAAAUGCUAACUAAAGUCGUAGUGAAAGACCAGUUAUGAAAGAGAAAUUCAGUCAAUCCUUCCAAUCUAGUAUCUAUAAAAGAAAGUAAAGAUGGGAUGGGAUUAGAAGCACUAAUCAAAGGAGAUUUAUUUGCUGUCAUCGAGCAGGGCUGAAUAGAUAUCUGUUCUGUUGGCGAAUCUCGGGCAUCUUCAUGGCUAAGAUCAAAAGAAGUGAUUUAAUUAGUAAAAGAAAUCGAUCACUGCUUGGACUCCCCGAAUGGGAGUUACUUUUCUUUUCUUCAUGCAACCCCUGCAAAGUAAAGGUGAACCUACCUUACCCAAUAAGGAGUACGGAUUACCCGUGUACCGGGCCUAGAUAAUUUCUUUAAUUCGCUACAGGUAAGGGUUAGCACAAUACUCCCUAAGACUCAAUCCCGCUUCCUUGUGCGGCUUCGUCGAGGAAUUACCUCGUUAGCCCACGCGAACUAGCUAUCAGCUAUUAGAUAGCAAUAAGAACACCUUUCUUUCGUAAGAAGGGUUACCGAAUGAUUGGGAGGGGAAGUAAGCUUGGAGGGUUUUACCAGUGUGUGGCAUUUAACAACAUUCGUAAGUCGUUCCAGCUUUCCAAAAAACCCAGUCUCGCAGAGCACCAAUUAACUCUUUUAGGCCAGUCUCAGGAGUUUAUUUAUUUGAGCCUCUGUCUCGGAUAAGAUUAGUGCGAGCCACAUCCAAAUACCUCGGUCAAAUUAUUCUGUUUAUUAUUAUAUUAGGCCGCAGGUGGUAGAAUCCCUCUGUCUCACGAGCAAAACAGCCAAGUAAGCUAAGUUUGGAUCUGGUAAGGUUGGGUUAAAGCCAAAGUAAGGAAUGAAUGGAGAAGCACAGUCUGGCUCUAUAAGUAAGGAAAUAUCUCUAUCCGGUUAUUUGUAGUGAAAAUCAGUCUCGAGGGGAGCAAGCAAACUCCAAAUUAAUAUGAAUACGGACCUGGUUCAACAAGUCGAAAGUCAUAGGAACUUAGAGAUUCGGUUUCUUAUGUAACUCGCUUGCUAGAAACAAGUCUUGGAUGCCACAACUUCACAUCCAGUCAGUAAGUUUGUAAGUAAGGUAACUUAAGAAAAGCGAGCCAGAUAAGAUUGUUAAGAAUCAAAGCGAGUGCUGCAGAUGAUUCUGAUUUUCUAGUAACUGGUCGUCUGUACUUAAAUCAAAUGAAACAAGAGAGCCCACUUCUUACUUCUUGCAGGUGUUUGGGAGGCGGCUAAGCUACAGAACUUGUAGUUCAAGUUUACGAGCCAGAUUGGACGGAAGGAGUAUAAGAUUCAGAUUUGGAGCUAACGAGCCUAGCAACAGCUUAGUUCUUUUGUAGGUAAUCGAUCGAAUCCGCCUAGACCGGGGAAGAUUUCUAAGAAAGCAGGUCUAGCAUUUUAAACAACAUUUGCCAAUGCACAAAGUAUGGUAAGUAAGGUAGGCUUAGCUGACUGAUGCUUACUAAAUCGAAACUUUGACUUCUAUAUCCAACUCAGUCUUUCCCUUAAGAUCUCUGCUGUUGGAGAUAGCGUGGGCGGCCCCUCACUUUUAUUCAGAACUUUGAUGGUACGAAGUGCCCAGUAAGCCUGGCUGGAAGAAAGGAAUAUUAAUUACAACCACUUGUAUACAGCUUAGUUGGACUCAAAGGAUAUAAGGGAAUUGGCGCUCGCUCGGAUUCAUUUUCCAGGUCCUACAUGUUCUAGGACUAUAGAUGAUCCAACAUGCCUAUAGUUUUCAUUAUUGUUUUAUGCUUUAGCCUCCUUUUAUAAGCACGCCCAUGCGAGUCGAUUUCAAGAUGUCAACUUUGACUAUCUUUCUCUUCUUACUUUACUUAUCCCUUACAUUACUUUACCUAGUAACUUUGAAAUAGGCAUAUCUUGUCUACCUUCCAUAUACCCUAGCAUUUCUACUAGUUGUUUUCUUGCAUAUAUCCAACCUGAAAUACCAUUGCUUCUUGUAGGUUUUUACUUCUACUUUCUUGACUAUAAUUACCUAUACUUGCCAUCCCGUCUUUCUAUUCCUUUUGAAAGUCAACUUGUGACUGACACAGCCUUCGAAGCUAUGAAAAGACCUAUUAUGUAUAGAGCUUGACAUGCCAACUACUAUAGCUAUAGUAAGUAGUUCUAGCUAUUCCUACUUGUUUUUUUCCUACUUGACUAGUGCUGACUUCUUUGCCUAUGAAAAUUCUUAUUAUUCUCCAAACUGUGGUAUCUGAAAUGACCCACUUUCCUGAGCAAAAGAAAUCUUACUAUAGCACGGUCUUACGUCCAGGAAUGGAACAUUCCAUCUCUUCUUGUCCACUGGUAUAGAAAGAAUAUGCAUUUUCUUGACCCACCGAAUCCUAAUCCUCAUCUUCAAGGGUCCACCAGGGCUUCCAAAGCUAGACUAUCCUCGGCAAAGAACCUAAGGGCGCUCCACCAGGGCUUCCAAAGCGAAACUAUCCUCGGCAAAGAACCUAAGGAAUUCCUCGAAUCGAUAGACUUUCGUACAACGGCAAACAGAGAGAGGGUUUUACGCUACUUCACAGUCAUAAGCAAGGGUGGAAGGUAUAACUCUAGCCGGCAGGCAGGAGGGAACGAAGCUCUUUCCUGAUCUUGGGCUAGAAUCCCCGACGUUGGUAGAUUUCGCAGUGGUGUAUCUUAGGAUCUUAAAGGUAAGCAACAGGGUUAAUCCCUAUCGAAGGAAUGGGGCUUUUCUUCACUUCAGCACUUCCCCUCGCAGUGGAUUCCACUAGGUUCUUAACCUCUUCCCAAUUCUUAAACUAAAACCUGCGAUGUCUAAUCCAACUCGGCACCUAACCAACUUGUCAGCAUCGUAAGUUUGCCUCAACAUUCCCCCUAGAAAUAGAAUAAGAAUGUAAAUCUACUUUCAUUUAUUUAUUAGGGAUGAGACUUUCUUAUAUAUUUUUAUAAUAAGUAUGCUCUGGAGUAAAAGGAUUCGAACCUUUGCAUGCCGGGACCAAAAACCGAUGCCUUACCGCUUGGCUAUACUCCAAACGGUCGGUUCCCAGGGAGAGGGGGAAGGGAGAAGCAGGGCUCGAAGAAAACGAGCCGUGCAAGGACGCGGGGAUAUAGCAAGUAAGCUGCAAGGUUUUCCCUUUAGGAACGGCUACAACAAGCUCGCGACUCUAAUAGAAACAAAGGGUCAGCUCUCUGCUCUAUUUGCUUGCAAUGCGUUGCCUAUCAAAGUCGGCGAACGCUUCCACCCCCUCUUGCCUUUGUUACGCAACACGCCAACAAAGAACCUUGGUUCCGUUGCGCCCUGUAUUCCGAGGCGACCAUUUCGCGUGGUUCGACCCAUUUCCCGAUCCGAAAAAUCCGAUAACGUACCUAUAUGAGUGGGAUGGAUGGUAAAUCAUUUGCAGUCUUUUUCGGCAGGACCUAGACACGGAGGUUCGGGAAGUAGCGCAUGACAGCAUUCACUGGUGAAAGGACUGGUAGCAGCGAGAGCAUCAUAGUUGACAUGGUCGGAGCUACAGUCCCCAUAUCCGUCUCUACUCUUUCUGUAAUUGACUCCCUCCCGCUCCCCCUUUUCCUUUGAAAUGGUUGAGGGAUAUGAAUCUGGAUCCCGAUCUUGUCUCUCGGACUAUCCCGUAGUGGUUCUGUGACCGUCAAUUGGAUCUAUUUCUUUCACACGGUCAACUGGCAUUGGUUUAACUAACUGGCUGGCUGCUAUUGAUUGAUAUCAGAGCCCGAGCCUUUGCCCCUUUUUGCAUGGUCUACCUCCUAUCGGCUACUGAAGCCCGAGUAUCAAACUACUGAAAGCGGAGGUUCAAAUACCUCGGUACCUGCUUGAUGGUGCUGGCAGAUCGACUACUUGGUCUGGGGUGUUUCGUAUCAAUCCAUGGGGGCUUUAGUCAUAGCCCCCGCCUCUGCUUUGUUCCCGCUCUAGGCUUAGACCAUCCUUCGUCAGUGCUUCCUGUGCUUCUGAUUAUGGAGCUGUACGACCUUCCGGGUCAACGAAUUAAAUGAAACAACUACCUCUCCCGUCCAUCAAAAAGUGUUAUUUCCUCCAGCUCUCGACUCCGCUUCUCCCUCCGAUGCCGGUAGAUUAAUUCAUUGACAAAACCCAUUGAUUCAAAGCAAGAAAACGGAUGCGCGUGCUAACGCUUUCGCGCUAGUGCACUCAAUCCGUUGCUUGUUUGGAACAAGAGUUUUCAUAAAAUGGUUCUUUUAUGCAAUUAUGAACGGGCAGGUCUCUUGUGGAUUCCUCCAACACCAUGAAUGAAGGGGGGAGUAUGAGGAAGGCCGAUUUUCUUUCUAUAUGAAGAUGAAAAAAGGAUCAGGGUCAAACAUUUCUUACUUUUGUUGAGUAUGACUGAAUGAGGAAGAGCUCCUUAUAUGGUAUCACUUUACCACCAUCUGAAAUGCGCGAAACUCCGAUUGGUGGAAGCCAGUCCAUGAAGAUUCCCCCUUCUCUUACGUGAAAUUCCCCUCUUUCGGUAAGCAUCCAGUAUCUCAGCAAAUGAACAUUUCUCUAAGCUUAUCCUGUAGCUUAUACGUCGUUAGAAAGCUGCUCCAAGGAUCCAACGAAUAGCUAAGGUUUGUUGACGAUCCCUGGCUACAAUCCCAGGAACAUCAUAAAUAGUACCUGCGACUCCUACUUUGACCACUUCGCAUAUUGGCUUUAUAUUAUCUACGGCGUCAACCAUAAGUUUGAUUACAUCGCGUUCAGUUCGAGCUAGGCGGUGAAAAGUUUUAUAAACAAUAGCACGAACUCUCGUUCUUUUACCAUCGAUCAAUGCGAAAGUUUACCAAUUUCUUGAUCAAUUCUUUUUGCUCACCAUCAAAGUCCCCCAUAUAGCUGAGAAUUUCCGAGCAAUUGGAAAUCGAUGACGAGGCCGAUAAAUUGAUAUUACGCGAUCGUUACUGUCCAUCUUUUUAAGCUCUGCUCCCGAAAAGAGAAAGGAGACUAAUCUUAACAUUGGCGUCGGUUUUUCCAACAAAACGAAGAAGUUUUUUUCUUUUUUUGAGAAUGAGCACACUGUGAACUAUCCUUUUUGAAGCGGAUAGUUGAUCGAACCAAAACCAAGACACUGUACACUAAAAAGACUAUUCGACGCUUCAGCUUACCACCCCCUCCCUCGAACUGAGCUAUUCCGAUGAUAAAUCACCAGGAUGACAUAAGACAGACACAAAACCUACGUACCCAUUACUUAGAGGAUCCGCCAAGCCCAAGCCUGAAAGCAAGGGUAUGAUGACCACUCUCUGAAAGCUUAAAACUGGCCCCGAUGAGCACGGAGACUAGUUGAGGUCCGAACGCGCACUCUUCCUUCGUUUAUUAAUACAGAAUUUAUUUGUAGGGAAUCCAGCCGGCCCCUCCGAUUGCAAGACAGACACGUCUGCAACAUGGAAUUUGUAAACCAAAAGUUUAUACGGAUUGCGCAGUACGGUAUGGUCUGCUAACUAAUUCUGGUGAACCCAAUGAUCUGUAUGAGGCACUUGAUGAUAAAAAUUGGAAGGGAGCAAUAGAUGAAGAGUAUGGUGCUUUAAUGCGUAAUAACACAUGGCACUUGGUUCCCGCAACUCAGGGACACAAUUUGAUUGAUUGCAAAUGGGUUUAUAAGAUAAAAAGGAAGGCUGAUGGUACUAUUGAUCGGUACAAGGCUCGUUUGGUUGCUAAAGGGUUUAAGCAACGUUAUGGUAUUGACUACGAAGAGACUUUCAGUCCUGUAGUCAAGGCGGCCACAAUUAGACUAAUAUUGUCACUAGCAGUCUCUAAUGGAUGGUCUUUGCGACAGCUAGAUGUUCAAAAUGCUUUUCUUCAUGGAGUUCUUGAAGAAGAUGUUUAUAUGCGUCAGCCACCUGGUUAUGAAGACAAGUCAAAGUUGGAUUAUGUGUGUAAAUUAGAUAAAGCACUCUAUGGUCUCAAGCAGGCACCAAGAGCAUGGUUUUCCAGACUAAGCAUGAAAUUGCAGAAUCUUGGAUUUCAACCGUCAAAAGCAGAUGCUUCGCUCUUCUUUUACAAGAAAGGUACAAUCUCCAUAUUUGUGUUGAUAUAUGUUGAUGACAUCAUUGCUGCUAGUUCUUGUGAAAAAGCAACUUCGGCAUUACUUCAAGAUUUGAAAGAAGAAUUUGCCCUUAAGGAUCUUGGUGCAUUGCACUAUUUCUUGGGCAUAGAAGUUAAUAAAGUUCAUGAUGGAAUUAUCUUGACUCAAGAGAAGUAUGCUACUGAUCUGUUAAAACGUGUCGGCAUGCAUGGCUGCAAGGAGAUCAAUACACCGUUAUCAACAAUAGAUAAAUUAUUGGCGAAAGAAGGUGAGCCUCUAGGUGCGGAGGACUCUACAAGGUAUCGAAGUAUUGUUGGUGCGUUACAGUACUUGACAUUGACCAGACCGGAUAUAGCUUUUCCGGUAAAUAAAGUUUGCCAAUAUCUACAUGCUCCCACUUCAUUGCACUAGACAGCAGUUAAGCGCAUAUUGAGAUAUCUCAAAGGAUCCUUGGGACUUGGUCUUCGAAUUUGCAAGUCAGAUUCAACUCUAGUAAGUGCGUUCUCAGAUGCUGAUUGGGCAGGAUGUCCAGAUGAUCGCAAGUCCACUGGAGGGUUUGCAGUAUUCUUGGGAGCUAAUAUGAUUUCUUGGAAUGCUCGGAAGCAGGCAACUUUUUCAAGAUCAAGUACCGAAGCAGAAUACAAAGCCUUGGCAAAUGCUACUGCAGAAAUUAUUUCGGUUCAAACCUUACUCAAGGAACGCGGCAUAACUCAGCCGCGGGCUGCAUGCUUGUGGUGUGACAAUAUUGGUGCGACCUCCUUAUCAGCAAAUCCAGUCUUCCAUGCGUGAACUAAGCACAUAGAAGUGGAUUACCACUUUGUGCGUGAACGAGUGUCUCAAGGGUUGCUGGAUAUUCGGUUUGUUCCUUUAGGAGAUCAAGUAGCAGAUGGCUUCACCUGUAACCUACCUAGAAGGCAAUAUAUACAAGGCGGCCUCCAUUGUGGAGGUUAACACGCUUCAUCAAUAGGUUACACAAAUUUACAGUGCUAACAUGACUGCAUCUCUACACGCCAGCAUCUCCACUGUGCUCGGAUCACUGAUAUGGUAUAUCUUCGACACUCAGCAGUGACAAAGUUUCCUGUAUUAUCCCGUGCAACAAUUCCUGCACCCGCAACUCCAUCCUUCAAGUUCAGUGCUCCAUUAGUGUUCAGUUUCAUCCAUCCCAAAGCAGGUGGAGCCCACUUCUGAACCACAGCCGAUGGGUCCUCCUGAGAUGGAAUCUCCAGAGAUUUAAUGAGCUCAUCAACCAAUUCAACAGACCUUAACGACUGGUACUUGACAUCGCCAUGGUUGUAGCUGUUUCGGCUCCCCCAGAUGGUCCACAUUACAGAGACUGCAAUUGCCGCCUCCCGUUUGCUCAUGAUAUCUGCAUCCAACACGUCCCACGACCAUGUAGCUGGGUUUAACCGUGGCAUCUUGAGAUCAAAAAGAUCCUGAGCCGCACUCCAAAACAAUUUUACAUGCUCACAUUCGACUAAUGCAUGAAACUUUGUUUCAUUGUCAUUGCCACAGAGAGGACAAUUACUUAUUUCUUUCAUAUGGCUUCUGCGGAGUUCAGCAGCACAGGGUAGCAAAUUUUUCACCACCCGCCACCAGAACACUCUUAUCUUAGGCAUUAUCCGGAGUCUCCACAGUGCUUUCUAGGUAGCCUCGUUACCCGUGGACGAUCCCGUAGCAGGUUCAGACAGGCCACAACGCUGAAUGAGUUCCCUGUACGCAGAUCUCACCGUAAAUAUGCUCGUUUUGUCCCAUGCCCAAGCCCAAAAUUCAUCUUGCUCUGUUCUCGGCCUUGGCAUGUUCAGAAUAGCAGCCGCAUCCAAUGGAAGGAAAAUCCGCUGCACCUUCUCCACAUCCCAUUGGUUUGUAUUAUGCAACAUGAGAUCGGCAACUAACUGAACUGGAUCAUCAGUCAUUCUCCCUAACGGCUUCAUUGUUUAGUAGUCCAUCUAUCCAUUGAUCAUGCCAUAUUUCAGUGGUACGACCAUCUCCGAUCCUACAGAUCAAUCCCAUUCUCAGUACCUCUCUUCCUUUGAUGAUCCAAGUAGACGAGGCACCUCGAGGGCAAUUAGCAGAUAGAAUAUCUCCUCCUUUGCUGUAUCUCCCCAGCAAAACACGUGCACAAAGACUAUCGGGCCUGUCCAGCAAUUGCCAAGCUUGUUUGGCCAGCACGGCAUCGUUGAAACUCUCAAGAUCCCGAAAACCAAGUCCUUUUUCAUUAAAGAAGCAAAUAAAUGACUUCAGGGGCUUGUGUGUUGAUUUUGUUUUGAACACAUACUUGAAUUUCUCCUUGCUACCUAAUAAGAGUUCAAAAGAAAGGAAGGCCCUAUUCCAGUCAAAAGUACUCUUUACGCUCACGAGCAGUCCUAUGAGGAUCCCCCCUGGUUCUGACUAUGAUUCACUAGGGCGAAGAUCUAAUAUAAUCUGGUUCAAGUUUUCCUUUUCUAUCGGGCCAUGGAUCACCUUCCUUUUUUCCAUUUUUUUAACUUGAUCACGCAACAUUUCUUUCUGCUUUGACCCAAUUGAUGACUUUGUCAAACUCCGUAGGUAGGGAGGAGUGGUCUUUCAGGAUUGGUCCUUGUGUUUCACUACUGUACACGGAUGGACCUCCUCUUUUUUAUGCAUCUUUUGAUUUAGUUUUUGCAAUACCUCAUUCACUUCAAGGGCACCCCAUUGCAACUAAUGAAUAAUGAAUUUGCUGUCUUCUAUCUAGGCCGACACCGGGAUUCACCACAACCCUUUGUUGUAUUCUUGAAGUCAAUCCAUAGUCAUGAGUUCUGAUUAAAGAAAGCAAGCCAUACAUACAUCAGUGGGCUGAGAAGCAAAUAGUUCCCCCGCCACUCCAUGCUAUAUUUCCUGCCUUGACCCUAUCAAGCAAGAGAAGAGGGUUGGGGGUGUGCUGUGAUGGUCUUACUGAUAUAGAACCCUUCCCUCAUUGAAAAGAAAGAUGCCCUCACCCGAUAGUUCUUCUUGCUUUAGCUUGGAUACCGGAUAAGUUGAUCUGAUUCAAGAUAUCUUAGAACACAGCACAUUCAGUGCAUAGGCCGGCCAUCAUCUCUCUCCUUGGAUAAGCAGGAUUUAGCAGGAAAUAUCGACAGCAUUUCCUAUAGAAAAGAAGCCUACUUGGUUGGGUGGGAGGAUGAAAAGAUUCUCUUCCUACUGGAAGAUGGCACUGUUGAAGUCUGGAGAGCGGAAGAUAUUUAAGUAAGGAUGUUAUGCCAGGUAGCAUUCGGUACAAGAGUGAGACGGAGGUAGCUCCGUAGAAGAAAGUAGUUUUGCAAAGAAGCUUGUUCUUCGGAGUAGAUUGGCACUACGGCACUACUAGCUUUUGAACAGAAGAAAGAGUUUGUUUUCUCGUCAUAAGUGCCACCAAUCUCGUUCAGGCACUAAACUAGUUUCUGGGAGGAUGGAUGGUUGUCCCUUCUUCUCAAUAGAAUCCGAUAGACAAGAAUCGAAAGCUGCAGAUUUUUUUAUUCCUCAAGUAAGUCAGUUGAUGAUUCAAUUCCAUCAAAGAUGGCAAGAGCGGGGCAUCUAGAUUGAUUCGUUUUUAAGGUUGUUAUACCGAAUAAAAAGUAUUCUGAUUCUCUGUUGAGGCAAGCUAUUCAUCAUUAACAGGAAAGAUCCCAAAGCUGUUAUUGCAAACAUGGGAUAGCCUGACUCUACGCUACAAUCUCUAUUUUCUUAUGAUAUUGAAUCUGGCUUCUAUUAUUGAAUCAGGCUUCUAUUAUUCAAUCUCUAGUUACCGUGGGAAAAGAAAGAGAUAAGAGCUCUUAGUGCAUGCCUUUUUUUUUGUGAUUCGAGCAGUUCUUGUCACAAGAUGAUGGGCCAGAGAAAAGUUUGAUAGGAAAGGAAGGCGACAGUUAAAUAAAAAAAAAGAAAGGGAAGAUGAUACUGAUAUAAGAGUACUGCUCUUUGCCCUAAGAUUACGAUCAGUCACUUUUUAUGUUUCAAUCAGCUCCUCACUUCUUAUUAAGGUUUUCGCGACCGACACCUAGUUCUUUCCACAUCACUCCACUGUUUGAGCAAUUUCCACUCUCCUUCCUGGUCAAACCUAUCAAAACCUUCGUUCAAGAACUCAUUCCAGCCCAUGCCUUCUCUGACUACUCCUUUCACUUUUUGAAGUGUAUUUAUUUGGAACAACUUUAAAUACUUCUCGCACUUGUCAACCCAUUCCCUCGUUCUCCCCUCCAUUAAACAUAGGAAAUUUAACCCCAAUCCAGGGUCAAACGAAGAUACUUGUUAGCCUAGCAUCAUGUGUAUCUGUAGCCUUCCCUAUUUUUGACAAUCUCCUAUUUCUUCGUAGCACGUGUCUCCUUCCUAUGUUCCGUCCCCUGUUACUGGAUAAGUAGAUUUUCUGUUUGAAGUGCCUAGAAGAUCCAGCAAACGGAGGUUAUCUCUCCCGCCUUGAGUUUCGGUCUUACGCAUUCAAGCCUAGAAUAAGGCCUAACAAUAGGGUGUAAACUUUAGCGAACUUCCAUGCUUAUAUAAUCCAAUCAAUUGCACCAUGAUUAAUCCACUAGACAAAAGGAAACCACAAUCACUACAUUAACCGAGCUAUAUUAGCCGCGCUUUCAAGAGCACACAUAGAAACCACUUAACAGUGACUCCUUCUGUUAGCUAUUCAUUUCCUGGGAGUUCAGACUGACGGUUAGGUUCUUUUUCUAAAUUUACUUAAGAACUUUUGGGCAAAGGAUACACCGGAAAAGAAGAGGAGCCUUUGUUCGUUUGGCAUUCGUUGGGGAUUCAUUUCUCGUUUUGCGAUUAGAUUCAUUGCUCGUCGAUAUGGUUUAGUAAAAAGGUUUUUUCUUUUUGAAAACCAGAUUCAUGCCCAGAAGAGGAUCCUCUAUCUGCUCUCGAAGCAGUCGUCAGCCUAAGCUUAGGUUUUAAAUCCUUAGGUUGACCCUACCCCUUUUUCUUCCUUUCCCUAUCCAACCCGAGCUCUAUCGGUCAUGGCUUUCUCCUCUCUUCAAUUCUUUCCGCCCAAACUAAUCCGCACUAGCCCCAAACCCUAGCCCUGUUGUCUGGAUUCCCGAUCUCUCUCCUACAAGAAAAACCUAUUCCACUAACGACUCUCUUUGUCUUAUAACUUGCUAAUACCCACAUGAGAAACGGUUUCCCCUCGCUUUCAGCCUCCCAUUAUGUCGUAGGCUCUCCGGACCUUCCAUUAUAUUUGAGAGAUGAAAUGCGUAAUUCAAGUCAUCAAACGAGCAUAAUGAAACAUCCAAUGCCUCGAGAGAGGAAUUUUAGAGACAUUGCUGGGCCCUUAGCCUGCCAGUCAACUUCAGCCUGAGAUGUGCCCGUCAAACCACUCGAAGGCGGCGAUCAGAUGUGUUACACAUUCAGGAGACUUGACAAAAAUGGCUAAAGAUCUACAACCUCUCAAAUAUCCCUAACUCAUACUCAUGUGAAUCUAGUUCCCAGGAUGUGCACUAGAUUCACACUUUCAUCUUAAGCAUGAUUAUACAUAGCAAACACAACUAAGAUGAAAGAAACUUAAGACUUACAACAACUUAAUAAUUACAUAGGCCGACCGGCCAAAUAGACUUAUUAGAGAACAGCGGAAGCUUGACUACCCAAUCACAAGCACACCGACUAGGGGUUUACCCCAUUAAGUUCUCAUCCUAGAAGAAGCAAUCGGAACCCGCAUCACUCAAAGACUAAGACUAAACCUGCAAACAAAAGGUUAUAUCAACAGCAAGAGUCAGUACAUUAAACAAGUUAAUGUACUGGCAAGCACAAGUCAAUCCUACUAUACUACAUGUAAGGCAUAUAUUCAAAGGAAGGCAAUAUGUAGUUCAAUUUCAGCAUAAAGCAAGUUUUGUUUUGCAAUUCUUUUGUAAAGGAGUUGAUGCUUCAAUUAACAAAGACAAGUUUUAAGUUUCAUUAUUAACUUCUUCAUAAUUCCAUCAUAAACAAUCUCUUUUUGCCAUACUUAACAAUAAGUCAUAAUGUAUCACCACAUACACAACUCAACACAUUUAUCAAUUUCAAACCCAUGUCACAUGAUCACAUUUUUAAAACAUAGUCUAUACUCAUGACACAUCACCAAAGCGCUCAUGACCGUGAGCACGGCUAAUCGAUUAGUUUAAAGAACUCUGCAGAGUUUGUACAGCUUUACCCACAUGAUAUGAACUCUCUAGUUUGUUUUGAGUUUGCAAGACUCCACCACACUCUUCAUGUUGAAUGUGAUCUAGAGGUCAUAACGAAGCCUUUACACUACUUAGAGCCUAGCCUUGCACCAGCACGAUACGUGUUCCUCCAUCCUAGGCAUACUUGGAAUAUACCUGGAACCGUUAAGUGGCGGGCCCACGCCUUAAACUUAACGCCGUGGUGGCGGACACGACGGGAACCCACCACGUGGCACAAUACCGUUGUAUUGGACACGCUUAGUCACCUAAACUACCACGUCGGGGUAAAUAGGAAGCUCCUCUGAAUUAUACGAACUCAUACACACCGGCCUACCAGAAUGCAAAGCUAGUCCUAAAUAGAUUACUCAGCUUAGGCCAUCCCAUACUAGCACAUGUGGAUGUACGAAUAACUUUAAAUGGGUGACACAAGUUCGGUCCUUAUCGACUUGGGCAAACACUCCCCCUAUCGGUAUGCAACUAACACCAUAUGCACACCACUUGCCGCCCAAGUAUAAAAUCACAUUUUACAUAUUUUAGUUCGUAAAUACCCAUCAUAUUCAUUUUAUUCCAACAAAGGUUCAUAUAUCAAAAUCAUAUUUUAAUUAUAGAUGGAAUGAGCAUUUGCAUAGUUCUAAGCAUGGCUAAGCAAGUAGUUACAAAUAGAGCAUAUAUAAACCCAUUUGAGCACAAAGAGUGUACUCUAACCAUUUCUAGGGGUUCAAACAGUAAGAGGAUCAAUUAUUCAAGGUGGGGUAUGCAGCAAAUAGGUCAUAACUACCUUAACCCAAUUUUAAAUACCGAUAUAAUCUAAGUUCACAUGCAGCUUUGCAAACAAACAUUUUCAUUCCUCAAAUCAUGGGAUUCAAUGUGUUCAAAGGAUGGGAGGAGAAAACUUGCCUUGAUCAGAGAAUUGUUAGCACCUAAUCCACUUCUUCACCGAUUAUGCAAUUAUCUAGAAAAAGGACACGACAUGCAAUUAAACACCGGAAGAGGUGAAAAUCCAAAAUGCUCUAAAAUGCAUGAUUUAUGCACAGUGGGUUGGAAAUGAUCUAAAAUGAAUUUAGGUGAAAUAAUUCCUAUUUUAUUUUAUUCCAUUUGGGAGUUAUGAAUUUUAGAAUUUUUAUCGGUUUACAAUAGUAUAGUCUUAGGUAGUGUUAUGAAAUACUUUUGUAAAGUGAUUUUUAUUAGAUUAGACUUCACAGGGGUGUGGAGAUGUGUUUUCUAAGACUAACACAUUUGGUUUCACAAUUUUUGGAAUUAUAAUGAAUUCUUUAUGCAUUUUACAAGUUAUAACGUGUUUUAGACAUAUAGUGUUUUAUAUGUUCAUGACUUUUGAGUUAUAGGUUCAGAACAUGCUACUUCCUGUUUAAGUUGAAUAAAAGGAAUAAUUCGCUUAACUAAAACAUUUUUAGUUCACAUGUUUAUGGUCUUUACUACUAUGGUUCAUAUUUUAUAAACUAGAGAUGCUCUAAUCUAAACUAGCAAUAUAUUAUAUUAACCUAGAAAUUGUUAUAUGAGCUAAGUUCUUCUAAGUUUUAGUGGAUGAGGAUGGAACUAUGGCUUCACUGGUCAAUCAAGUUUUUAUUUAGGUUUAAUUAGACCUAAAGUGUAUAUAUAUACUUAUACAUGUUUAUGUAUUACUUAAACAACACUAUGUGUUUAAAUUCUUAUUUCACUAAGUUAAGGUUUUGAUCAAUGUUCUCUACAAAAGGUGACAAAUUUUAUUUUACUAUGUUGAAGAUAACUAUUUGCUGGUUCUAUAGAAACUUUGUUCAUUUCAUUUGGACUAAAAAUAAAUUUUCUACAAGUUUUACAAAUUAAUGGCUGCUCUAUGUUAGUAAAUUCUUAUAUGAAUAUUUAGAGACUUUUACUACACAGCAAGUAUAUAAUCUUAUUUCAUAACUUGGAAAUACAUGUUUUAGUGAUCCUACAUAACUUAAGUUUAUUCAAAUUGAAGCUAAAUUGGGUUCUACAUGAAUUUCUAAAGUUUAGCUUAUCUAAAACUAAUCAUUAUAGAGAUAAUAGUUUUAGAGGCAUUUGAUGCAAAGUAAGUCAUUACUUUUAUUUAACCUAAUCAGAGAGUGUCUGAUGAUGAAUCUGCAGUUUUUGAGUUUGUUUCAAAAUGAGUUGAAAUGAAUUUUCUAUGUAUUUUAUAAGUUUGUACAUGUUUUAUGCAUGACUUAUCUUAGAUAAAUCUUAGAGACAUUAUUUGUACAGUGAGUGUCAAGUUUUAUAUUCCUGGAAUAAAGUUCAUAACUUCAAGAAUCUACAGCAACUGGAAUCACUUCAAAAUGAGCUUCAUUUGAUUUUAUAUAGAUUUUACAACUUUGUGCAUUUUUCUGCUAAACAUGUAUUUGUUUGGGCAUUUUCCUAAUUUUUCUUCAGAUUUUAAAGGAUGGGUCCACAUGGCUGUGAGGGACCAAUAUGCACAAAGGCCCUUGAGGUUUCUAGGAAUCAACCCGCAGUCCUAGGCCCAUAUGUCAGUUACUAAUAUUUUGCGCAAAAACCCCUGGUUUCUCGGGAAAUAGAUCCCGCAGUCCCCUAGUUUUAGGUUUGUAUGCAAAACGAUGCUUGAGUUUUAGUUUAUUUACAGAUUAUUACUGGUCCUACUUGUAAGUGACUGUUCCAGUUGUUAAUACAUCCCUGGGAAUCUUUAAAUUUCAAAAGCCAUGCCCUUGCUCUGGACAGAGCAGAGCAGCAGCACAGCCGCGAGCUUCACAGCAUCACCAGUGGCGAACAACGGCGAUUCAGCUUAAGCUCCCAAAACAAAAAGUGUAGAGAACAACCGUGUGAACCUAUUGGUGGCUUUCUGGCAAGAUUUGGUGCUCUAUAGCGGCUGUUAGGGUGUUAGAGGCGGUGGCUAAGCUCGGCUUGCACAUGCAUGUGGGUUUUGAGGCUCGAUUUAAUCGUGCAUGCGUAUGAUAAGGACUCUAGGGACUACUAGGAGGCUCACCAAGAAUCAAACGCGGCUCGGCGAAGUCUUGGCGACGGUGUACUGGUUCGGCGACGGCGCAACUGCUACGGUCGUCGUCGACGGUGUACUCCCGGGCUUCUACUGCAUAUAGAGGGUGCAUGCUUCGGUUUAGAUCAGCACAAGGUAGCUCUAGGCGAAAAAUAUUGCGCCGAAGCUCACCAGAGAAGGAGAAAGAAAGGAAUGGCGUCGGCGGCCAGAGUUGGAAAAAAAAAAGAAGAGGAUCUCCCACCGUGGUCCACCUCGCGUCGAUUCCUUCGGGAUUCUUGAUCUACAGAGGUUGAUGAAGCUCGUGGCGAAGUGGCUCAGCUUGUCACGAACCGUGGAAGCUGGGCGACGAGCAAAGGCGAAGCAGCGGCGUCCAGAGCGCGACGGUGUUCCGAGUUGACGCGGUCGCGUUCCCGGAGAUUGGCUGCACUAAAAGAGGCGUUCUUGGUGGCGUUAGAGACGGCAUUGAGAGGGAAUUACAGAACGCUUAUUGAACGGAAAUGGAGCUCACCGGAUUGCGACGGCGUCGAGGACUUCUCUCACCGGCGCCGGAGUUGGCACCCCCGUUCCCGGCGAAUCCGAGGCGGGGUACCUCGGUUCUUCUGCGAAACGAGACAGGGGCGAGAGAGAGUGAGAGUUGGUCGGCCAGUCGGGUUAAGUACGGUCGCCGGCGGAGAUGGGGAGGAGGAGCUCGCCCUCUUCCGCGCUCAACGCGUGCUCACACGCGUGGCGCGCGGGGUCUGAGUCGUGGGCCUGUGUGGAGAGGGAUGUGAGGCUGACAAUGGGGUCCCACUAGGCAAGAGAGAGGUGUAGAAGGAGGAAGUGUUGGACAGGGCUGAACCUAGCCUAAGGUACUGACAAGUGGGGCCAACUCGAUGGAAACUAGGCCAGGGAGAGAGAUAUGGGUAGAAGACUGGUAAACUUGAUUUUUAGAUUAAUUUUCGGAAUUAUUUUCUCCUCUAACUUUGUAACUACAUAAUUCAAUGUGUGGACCAAAUUAAUUAGUGUUGAUUUUACUGGAGGUAAAUGAUUACACCUAGAUUCCAUUUUCUUUGGUUGCACUAAAAAAUAAUGGGUGGACUGCUCACAGAAAUUAAACAAAGAUGGGCUAUUAGAAAGCUAGAUUGAAUUUUUAGGAGGCUUAAACAGAGAAGGAAAAUUCUAGAAAAAUUACAUUUAUUCAUGAUAACUAAUCUAGUAUUUGAAUAAAUUAUUUUCCAUGUUCACUUAUGUGCAGUUAAAUGUACUUUUGGAUGAAAUAUGGUUUUAGCCGAUUAAAAUUUAAUUUGAUUUCUUUUAGUUGUCUGCUUCGACCGAUUAAUUUGAGAUAUCAACUUGAGUGUUAACACGUUACCAAAUUACGGAGGAUAAGUUUGUGCUAAUCAUUGUCCACAUAAAUUUUUCCAUGAUUUUAUCUUGCACAAAAUAUUUUAGAGAAUUAAGUUGACCUUUAUUUGUAUAUGUGUUCCCACUUCAUAAUUGCAUCUAAUAUUAUUAUAGGGAUUACAUUAAACUUCUUUUAGACUGAGAAGAUGAUAUUUGAGUUUAAUAUUAAGUCCACAUGUUAUCACCCAAGAUUAACUAUAGGUUUGUUUAGUGAAGUAAUUCUUUUAGAUUAUGCUCAUGGGAUCUAUUAUAGAAUGCAAGACCAAAACUCCAAAUGCACAAAGAACUCGAGCCUAGGCAUGCAUUAUGUACAUGUAUGCUUGGUGACAUUUCUAGUCUAAUGUUGGGAAUGAAAAGGUUUUAUUUUGUUCUCAAAUUUUAAUCAUGCAAUGGUUUAAGUUGAUCAUCACCUAAAUUAAAACGGAAAUUUUUGGCUCUCAAAAUUGGAGAAAUUAACCUCUAACUAUUUUGAUAAGAAAUUUUAAGUCCUAAAAUUUCGGGUAUGUUACACAUUAUAAGCUAGAUGACUCUACUGUGACAUGUUAUGACGAUCUGGAAGCCCCCAACCAUAGAUAGAUGCUUUGAUCAUCCAGGUUUUGCCAAUCCACGAACUGCAUCGUAUAAUAACCGCGGAUAUCAGGCGUAGGUUGACCUUGAGUGGUUCACUGAAGGGUAGGGCUAUCUCUUCCCUUUCCAUGCCUUUGAUUCAUCCCGGAUUGUGUUGAUGUGCACAUGAACAAAAGUGCACAUUCCUAUCCCCGAAGCAAAUAAAUCAGAUGACUUUUCCGAAGCAAAGAAGAAGAUGAUGGCUCCUACAAGGCACAACACCAAUGGAACAGUGGAACGGGUAUCUUUUAGCAAAGCAAAGGGAAAGGAGGUAUCAUACCAAGGGGUUGAAGAAAGGGUUUAACCAGCGGAUUCGCAUAUCUUUUUCCAAUGGCUUCCCGCAUCCCUAGUUUUUUAACUCCUGGUUUCGGGUAACGGUUAUGGGUUUGGCCCCCUUCCCUUGGCGAGCAUAAGAACCAUUCGUAUACGUUAGGAGCAGAAGUUGACGUGGGUAUACUCUUCAUUUCAUCCUUUUCAUUGAAUCCCCUAUCCUAUUAUCCAGCAACGCCCAAGCUGUCGAUGAUCACCUAGCUCUUGUUGGAAGCAAUUGAAGUAUACUCUACAUCAACAUGGGAUUGAAAAGGUGAGGGCGUAGCGAGCGCUAGAGCUAUUCCUACGAAAAGGGGAGCUAUUCCUAUGAUUCCUAGUAUCCGUUCAUCGAUAGACUGUCCUCGGGCAAGGGAAAUAUACUAACACUAUUACUCAACCCAUAAUACCCUUUCCAAGGGCUCAAAACGGGUCUUUGCUACAAUCCAAUCCAUUUUCAAACAAAAGAAAAGAGCAAGUUCCCACAGGCGAAGAGCUGCUUCCGAGAAAUAUUUAUCUUCUUUUACCCCCUUUACGCCCUUCGCGGCUGCUAACAAUGAGCUAAUACACAGGAACGGCACGGCUCCUACACCGCUUAACUCCAAUAACAGAACCUGGUCCCACAUCCCUUGCAUUUGAUAAUGAAACAAUCAGAAUUUGUUGAAUUGAACAUAUUUCAAUCUCAUUUCUUUUACGUGGUUUUGGCAACUAUCAAUUAUCUCUUUCCUCGGCUUCCUACACGGAUAUAGCCGUAAACGGUAUCUAGUAGGCAACCUGGGAACUACAUUAGCUUAGGGGGAUCGGGUAGCGAGCGCUCUCCUCGGCAAAGCACAUGAUUGAGAUUUGAAUUAUUGUAUUGUGAAUAAAGGCAUGAAAGGAAUUUAAUAGUAGUUAGGUAUUAAAAAGAAGAUCUAAUUCAAGUGGUAAAGCAAGUAUAUAAUGAUGAUAAAGUCCAGAGGAAAGGAAUAUUGUUUCACGCCUGCAUAGACAAGUAAGUCUGCCACGAACCCCUGUCCCUGCCAAGUAGAAAGCUAGUAAGCAAGUACUGAACUUCAAUCCUGCAUUCUCACUCUUGUUUUUGUCGCUCAAUCCAAAGAAAGAAAUAGGAAUACGAAUCCUCAUCCCCAAAGCCUGGGUCCUAGACUACUACGAAUAGAAAGAUUUCUAUGGAUAUCCUUUGUAUCAAUUUUAUAAUGCUUAUCACCUCCUUCUGAGCUAUUCCCACGGUGCCUGAGCAGUUGCCAUUGAGAAUGUUGUGGGGAACGAUUGGGUGACUUAGCACAAGCAGCGCGUAACAGGUCCUUUGCAGAUGGUAAGUACCUGGAUUUCAGAGGCAUUGCUAGAUGUGUCGACUUGCGAGACGAGAUUGCGGUGUAGCUCUUGAAAGAAAGAAAAAGAGGGGCUCAGUAACGGCAAUCAACGGCUCCUCGGAGGCAACCUAGCCAAUUGAGUAGAGAUAUGAAAUGACGAGCGAAUUACCCGAUUCCUAUUAUGCUACGCCCCGGGAUAGUAAUAGCCUUGUUUCGGAUUUUCUAGCGAUGACUAGCCCUUUGACGGCUCCUAUCCCUAGACACCGGCCCCUGGUACCAAUACUAGAGAUUUGCCUUGGCUGUAGUUCAAAGAAGUUCUUCGGCUUUGGGAAGAUGCGAACCUUAUACCAUUGUCCUUGGAUAGAUAUGAACCUUACGCGGGCAGCGGAUGAGCAUAUCCCUAGAAUACCUGCCUAUCCUACCUAACGCUGGGUUGAACCUAACGCUAGAGCGAGUACUACGAUGCAAGCUCCUUUUACAAGCGAUACCUUUGUCUUUGGUGCUUGAGUUGUCCUCCUAGCGGUGUGCUCCUCGGUUUCGGAAAUGACAUAUUGAACCGGUAUCUUUAGCAAAGCCCAAAUCCGGCAGACCCCUUUGACGGCAUCCCUCCUCUAAAGCUGCUUCCUUCCUUCAAGCAACGCAUUCACGAACCAAUACGUAGUACACGACGUAGUAAAUCAAUUAAAUAAUGCAAUCCGGGUUAAAGAAAUGAAAUGGUUGUUGCCUUCUCGGACAAGAAGGAAAUAUCACUCUCUAUCUAAAUGAUAGAAGUAUUUAAUCAAAUCAGAAAGAGCCCUGGGAUUUGACCAAAACGGCAUAAUUGAAAGCUCUCGUCUCUGCCGCUCGCCUAAGAAAAGGUAUCGGGUUGCUCCGUGAUGACGAAUAAGCAGCCCAGAAAUGAGGGGAGGAGACUCUGCCUCCAUAGUAUAAGUUGCUAUCCACUUAUGCUUGGUUUGUGCUUGACCACGAAAUCUUGCCUCCCACCAUCAUGAAAGACAGAUGAUGAUGUCGAUUUCUUACUGUCGAGACAGCCUGUCCGAAUCCAAAUCAUUUGACUUCCUCCUUUGCAGUGGCGAGGUCGUUGAUUCCUAUAAAUCAAGAUGUUUUGUUGCCUGCUUCUUUUUAUGAGCCUUCUCUCUUGGAUGGUAUUAUCCACUGGUAUAUUGUGAAAGUCUCUACAAAGACGAAAGGACCCCAUGCCUUCUUUGAAAAUGAUAUCCCUCUUCAAUGCUUCCGCUAGCCCUAGACUCGGAAUACUCUGCUUAAGAGAUCCCCCUCUCCGGCCAGAGAGGAUUUGAGUACAACAUUGAUUGCGGAAGAUCUUUGUUCCUAUUAUUUCAAAGCCUAACUAGGCGCGCAGCGGUGAGUGCGAGCUGCUUUCAAGAAAUGCUGGAAAAGAGCCAGUAACGCUAUCAGUGAAUAGAGCUGGUGUAAAGUCCGGCUAAAGUACCAUACAGCCCCACAGGUUUAGCCACACAUUCACAGAGCAUCUAAUCCAUCUUUUCCCAUGCCAAGGAAAAACAAAAACCAAAUCACCUCUUAGUGUUGCUUAGUGCUCAUGUGCAUCCUACUGGGUAGUCCUAAACUUCAGUAGUUCUAUGACCACUACAUGAUGGAAUUUAGGCUAUAGUAAGACAAGUUAAGGUUCCCACAGCAAUGAGGGCUUUAAAAUAUACUCCCUCCGUCCCUAAAUGUUUGACAUCGUUGACUUUUUUAAACAUGUUUGACCGUUCGUCUUAUUACAAAACUUUUGUGAAAUAUGUAAAACUAUAUGUAUACAUAAAAGUAUAUUUAACAAUAAAUCAAAUGAUAGGAAAAAAAAUUAAUAAUUACUUAAAAUUUUUGAAUAAGACGAACGGUCAAACAUGUUUAAAAAAGGCAACGGAGCUAAACAUUUAGGGACGGAGGGAGUACCUCCCAGCCCUUCAUCUCUAGGACGUCGGACUGGUCAAGCGGUACUAUGCACCCCCACUUUGGUAUACCCUCCUAAGAGGAGUACUUGACAGUAGGUGGUGGGUUUUUGGGGAUAGUAUGACUCGGCCCCUGGACCAUGCCAACCAAGACUUCCCACCAGGUUUUCCUAUUUGGGGAAAAUUCCAGAUAUGCAAGACGCAUAUGCAUGCAAUGCUUAGGUGUAGUGAGGUGGUGUGUGCUUAUUGCAAAUAGGUUAACCCUUAGUUUAUACAAACUACAUUUUUCACAAAGGAAAGAAAUGGGAAUGUUGGUGAAUUUUCAAGUCAAGCCAUUUAUAUUUAUAAGCCAAAAACCUUUGAUUUAAGGCUUUUAUUCCCUUGUGGAGUCGCGUGUUGUACGCCCGCAUUUUGGCACCGCUUGCCACAUCAUCAUUACUUUGGCCACCUAAGCAACCCAGUAGAAGAAAAAGGGGUUUAGAGUCGCCACCUGAAAAAUCACUGAAAAUUUGGAAUAAAUAAAUGGAUAUAUAUAUAUAUAUAUAUAUAUAUAUAUAUAUAUAUAUAUAUAUAUAUAUAUAUAUAUAUAUAUAUAUAUAUAGUGGCUAUCUUCCUUCAAGUGAGAGAGAGGAUCGAGAAACCAUCGCCCAAAGGUGCUUUCACGAAAGCCGGUCUCCGGGGGUAAAGAACCUUUCUUCACUCUUCCAGCCUUCCAAACCAUCCACUGGAUUUUCAUGUUCGUAAGUUGAAAGGAAUAUGUGUGUGUUGUAUAUAAAUAAAGGACUUUCGAUUUAGCGUUGUCAUUUUUACGAGGUUUUAGAUAAUCCAAUUUUCUGUGAGAUUACUUUCAUUUUGACUGAAUCACUUGAAUCAGUUAAAGGAGACGAGGCUUCUGGCCCAGCCAGAGGGGCUGGAGAGGAGAGUUUUGACCGCGGGGGAGGCAGGUCCAGUUAACGGGGAGAAUCCGCUAGGCUGAGGUUAAAAAAAUCUUCCAAAACUUUUUCUUUAGAGAUAGAAUUCCUCCCGAGAACACACGAAACAAAAAUAUGAACUAGGUAAAUAGAAAUGGAAAAGAGAUGUUUCCAAUUCAUCACAAAAUCUAAAGCUUUUUCUACAUCCAUAUGAUCUACUUUAGUAGAUUGGUAUUGCCCAUAUAAUGAAAGCAGAUCUUGGUCCAUGGAGUCCCAAGAAGGUUGGAACUCCAACCUGUCCGAUGCUUUUUCGGCCAAAUAAAUAGAAAAGUGGGACCAGCACAAUGAGCAAGCUGCGCGAAAAACCGCUUCUUUUUCCGGUUCCGCAACAACUUGGGCGAAAUGGGGUUCUACCGGGAAACCAUGGUCGAGUUUUUGACCUUGGUUACUGGUCGAGCCACUGGAUAAGAAUCUCUGGAGAUCUUUCCUCUCCACUUACUUGUAACAGGCUUUCCCUCUGUAUAAGACUUCUUCCGAAUGGCAUAAUUGUCCUGUCCUAUUGACACCUCGAUCUUUAAAGAAAACUGACUCCUCCUUCUCUUUUAGGAUUUGAUUGUUGUUGGUCCUUUUUUCAGUAAUGAUCUCACCAUAGUAGUUCGCGCGAGGGACUAUCUUUUCUAUCGCUUGCUUUUCACUCUCAAGACAACGGUCGGUCUCUCUAUGCUAUAAAGCGAAG